GCGGCGGCGGCGGCGGCGGCAGCGGAGGAGUCAACGGUGAGGAUGGGAAGGAGAAAUCGGUCGUGGAUGGAGCCGAGGAGGCUUCAGGGGUGUCACCUCCGAUGUCAUAAUUCUCGACGUCGGAGGAAUGACUCGUGGGGAUGUGCAGCGAGUGUGAAGAGAAUUUGGGAAAAUCAAGUAUCCGCCGCAAGGGUCAAUCUUACAACUGAGACAGCAAUUGUAUGGCCUGUUUCUGAAGCCAAGGCUAUGCCUAAUUGGCAAAAGGAGUUGGGGAUAAACACUUGCAAAUCACUCAGACAAAUUGUGGCUUAAGUCUAACCACAAGUAUCUGCCACCAGCGUCAAUCUGACAACCGGGAUAGCAGUUGUAUGGCCAGUAUCUGAAGCCAAGGAUGGCAAAAAGUGUUGGGAGAAACACUUGCAGAAGACUUGACAAAUUUUGCCUUUAUGUCUAACCCUCGACAUAAGUAGUUUUAUUCACCAUCUGCUUG
Eucalyptus grandis is the source of this 490-nucleotide RNA transcript. It is a transcript of the gene named copper-transporting ATPase PAA1, chloroplastic-like, with no coding region annotated. The record is from RefSeq and is a predicted model, not a curated record. NCBI's taxonomy places the organism in Eukaryota, Viridiplantae, Streptophyta, Magnoliopsida, Myrtales, Myrtaceae. The transcript has 4 exons.